RNAcentral lists this ribosomal RNA (507 nucleotides) under Sidera americana. RNAcentral's name for it is "Sidera sp. ZBL-2020d partial small subunit ribosomal RNA". It matches the Rfam family "Bacterial small subunit ribosomal RNA", at positions 401 to 952 of the family's 1533-position model. Lineage: Eukaryota; Fungi; Basidiomycota; Agaricomycetes; Hymenochaetales; Rickenellaceae. The record is from RNAcentral.
CGGAGAGUGACUAGCUACUGCAAUCUGGGUUGUGUCAAUCUAGAUAAUGUAAAGGAACAUUACGAGAUUACUUUACUAAUAGUGUCGUCCAAAUACUGGUGCCAGAAGACUCGGUAAGGCCAGAGACGCAAACGUUAAUCAUCUUUAACUGGCGUAAAGGGUUCGUAGGCAGUUUAUACAUAAAUACAUAAACUAGAAUCAAAUAGAGGUAAAUACAAAUCAUACUUUUUGUAGGGUUGAAAUCUGAAAAUAAAAAGUGGAAUACUAAUGGCGAAGGCUAUUUUACCAAUUCUGAUUGACGCUGAGGAACGAAGGUGUGGGUAGGAAAAAGGAUUAGAGACCCUAGUACUCCACACUGACAACGAUGAGUGGUCAUUGAUGUGAUUUAACAUCAUGUUAAUGCGGUUAACACGAUAACCAUUCCGCCUUGUGAGUACGACUGCAAAGUUGAAAACAAAAAAAUUAGUCGAUCUCGGAGCAAACGAAGUGAAGCAUGUUAUUUAAUUC